CCAGCUGUGCGUGAUGGCUGUGCAUUCUUGUGCAGGGUCUGCUGUGGGACAGAUUUGUAAGUGGAAAGAUACCCAUAAACCUGGAAACGUGGGGAAAGAGAAAGCGCUUUUAAAAGAAGGCACAUGGUGCAUCAUUUAUGCAUCAUAAAGAAGGCAAUGGCCUGGCUUUCACAAACAGAACAGCCUCUGGAAAAAGAUCUUCACACAGGCUGAGUUGUCUGGAAUGUUCUUUCUCCCCCUCAGUGCCUAGUUAACCCCUAUUCAUCCUUCAAACCUCAGUUUAAGUGGUACAAGAACAUUAAAAGAGUCCCAAAGCCAAAGAUGAACUUCAUAUCCAGCAGAGGGAAGGGGACCACUGAAUCCGCGAAAACAAGGACAACUUUGCAACAAUUGUUCCCUGUAUGCGAUCUCCAUGAGAUCUGCCCCUUGAACUCUUGAACUUUUACUA
Non-coding RNA from Vicugna pacos (alpaca), 448 nucleotides. Lineage: Eukaryota; Metazoa; Chordata; Mammalia; Artiodactyla; Camelidae. The record is from RefSeq and is a predicted model, not a curated record.